GAUGAACGCUGGCGGCGUGCCUAAUACAUGCAAGUCGAGCGAACGGACGAGAAGCUUGCUUUUCUGAUGUUAGCGGCGGACGGGAGAGUAACACGUGGAUAACCUACCUAUAAGACUGGGAUCACUUCGGGAAACCGGAGCUAAUACCGGCUAAUAUUUUGAACCGCAUGGUUCAAAAGUGAAAGACGGUCUUGCUGUCACUUAUAGAUGGAUCCGCGCUGCAUUAGCUAGUUGGUAAGGUAACGGCUUACCAAGGCAACGAUGCAUAGCCGACCUGAGAGGGUGAUCGGCCACACUGGAACUGAGACACGGUCCAGACUCCUACGGGAGGCAGCAGUAGGGAAUCUUCCGCAAUGGGCGAAAGCCUGACGGAGCAACGCCGCGUGAGUGAUGAAGGUCUUCGGAUCGUAAAACUCUUUUAUUAGGGAAGAACAGAUUUGUAAGUAACUGGGCACAUCUUGACGGUACCGAAUCAGAAAGCCACGGCUAACUACGUG
This 497-nucleotide ribosomal RNA is filed under the name uncultured bacterium. RNAcentral's name for it is "partial 16S ribosomal RNA". It matches the Rfam family "Bacterial small subunit ribosomal RNA", at positions 28 to 507 of the family's 1533-position model. The record is from RNAcentral.